GACGAACGCUGGCGGCGUGCUUAACACAUGCAAGUCGAACGAAGUGGCGAACGGGUGAGUAACGCGUAAUCAACCUGCCCUUCAGAGGGGGACAACAGUUGGAACCGACUGCUAAUACCGCAUUCUGAAGGUGGGGAUUGCGUCUGAUUAGCUAGUGGGAGGGGUAACGGCCCACCAAGGCGAUGAUCAGUAGCCGGUCUGAGAGGAUGAACGGCCACAUUGGGAAUGAGACACGGCCCAGGAUCCUACGGGAGGCAGCAGGGGGGAAUCUUCCGCAAUGGAGGAAAGUCUGAAGGGGCAACGCCGCGUGAGGGAUGGAGGCCUUCGGGUUGUAAAGCUCUGUUAAUCGGGACGCGGUACCGGAAUAGAAAGCCACGGCUAACUACGUGCCAGCAGCCGCGGUAAUUC
RNAcentral lists this ribosomal RNA (408 nucleotides) under uncultured bacterium. RNAcentral describes it as "partial 16S ribosomal RNA". It matches the Rfam family "Bacterial small subunit ribosomal RNA", at positions 28 to 526 of the family's 1533-position model. The record is from RNAcentral.